Megalopta genalis is the source of this 2041-nucleotide non-coding RNA. NCBI's taxonomy places the organism in Eukaryota, Metazoa, Arthropoda, Insecta, Hymenoptera, Halictidae. The record is from RefSeq and is a predicted model, not a curated record.
AGCGUCGCACCUGUUGGCAACAGCUUGUUUUUAUAGGACAUCGAAAAUCGAUGGUCCGACGUUGCUCCGCUUUCGGUUAAUUUACGGCAGGCUCUCGCGUAGACUCGAGUCCCGAGAGUCCGAAGAUACGUGUGCGGUAGUUGCCGCGAACGCGAACGGGCAAAGUCCGGACGCGAUAACCGGCACCUCGACCUCGAACGCGCUCGAUUUAGACUCGGACACGCCGAAAACUAUCCGAAAAAUAGUUCCGACGCGGCGUCUGGCCAUGGUCGGCGGUCACGGGCUUGGAAAGGCGGAGAGGCGCCUUCUCGCGAUAGGGCCCCGUUCCGUUGGACCGCUCGACGCGCCUCGGCUUCUGGUCCAAAACCGUCGACGAUAGCGUUACCUUUACCGAUUCUAUCCGGUGAAAAUUUCCGACGCGCGACAUCGUCGGUCGAUACGCAGGGCGACCCAAAGGUUUCUCGAAAUCGGGAAACGAGGGGUUCCCUGGGUCGUACGAGUUAUCGACGAAAAACACCGACCAACGACGAGAGACGAAGAAACGAAAGUCCAGCGUUUUCGAGUUGGCAAAACGAAGCGGACAAAUAUCGUCCGGUGUACGUAGAAAACUCGACGAAAUAAACAAGAUUCCCCAGGGGUGGGAAUUUUGCUUGCCUCUGUUCUCUUCGUUCCUAGCAAUAUACGUGGCUGGAAUCCUUUCGUAAUCAAAGAUAAUGGUCGAGGUCGACGUUGCACCGAGGUCGAGGCGCGCGAAAAAGACGGCGGUUACGAUCGCGAUCGCGGAUGCUCACCUGAUUGGCGUGCACGGUCAGAAGAACAGCGGCGGAGACGAGUGCGCUCGAGCUCGAGAGCCCCGAAUUAGGAGGAACGUUUCCCCAAACUGCAGCCAACAUUCCCGAAGGAACGACCUCCUCCGGCAUCACCUCGAGGGCACCCUUCACACCGCAGAGGAAAUAUUUGUACCAGUCCGGGCCACCGCCGGCAUCCUCGAUGCAGGCGCUGUAAAAAAUUAUGAAUUUCGGUCACCUCCGGUCGCUUCCGCUCUCGCUUCGCUAUUUUACAGGUCCGGAUUUCCGCUCGAUCGAUCGCCGAUCGCUGGUCUACGAUCAGUCUACCCGUCGAACAUCGGAACGACGCGUCCACGUCUUUCCGCGUAUUUCUCGAAUUUUCCUUCAACGCGCACCCGCGGCAUCGUUCGAUUUUGCAAUUUUUAACGAAGCAUCUUUACGAGGGAAAUCGUUGUAACUUGAAAAAUCUGACAAAUCCGACAAAUCCGAAGAAAUCCGAUACGAAAUCCUUCGUUUUGGUAGAACAGUGCUCCGGAAUAGCGCCAAUAUCGAGGUAACGUACAUUUCUUCGAAAUCGAAAUAGUAAGAUUAAACAAUUUUCUCUCAAUUAUAUCGAAUUAUUUGCAAUUAUUUCGAAUUCUCGCGAUCUCGACUACUCGCGAUCGCUGUGUAAUUCAUUGUAAAAAGCAGUCGUUGAGGUAAAUCGAUUUAAAAAAGCAGAACGACUCUCGGUGGCAAAACAUUUUUUACAAUUUUAUGGAGAUGCGGUGGCAAUCGAGAAUUAUUAACCGUACAACGAAGUCGUGAAUACGGCCGAUCACCGGUUUGUAACGGUACCACGUUCGAUCGAAGAUCGAGCAAUGCAAAACGAACGGUCUCGUUCGUAUCCGAGUGUACCCGACCGCGCGACCCGACCGUGUUCGAGCGCGCGCGGCAGAACGAAAAGCCAGAGCCUGUGUUUUAGCGUCGUUCGUUACAGACGAGGUAAACGUUUUAAACAUACUCGAGGAACGUUCUUCGGAGAAUGCCCUUUACGACGCGACAUUUCCGAGCACCAUAGUCGCGUGUAUACCUCGCAGCGUAAAACCAGAGCUAACUCGUAAAAAUCGAUGGAACGUAUACAUGUAUCUACCCUUUGCAUUCCCGUUUCUACCAACAACAGUUUUCAUCCACGUCUACGCUAUACAAAUCGUUCCGCGUCAAAAUCAUCGAGAGUCCAAAUAAAACUCGAUUUCGAAUAGUUCACACGCUUA